This 489-nucleotide ribosomal RNA is filed under the name Haptophyta environmental samples. Its description in RNAcentral is "SSU rRNA". It matches the Rfam family "Eukaryotic small subunit ribosomal RNA", at positions 451 to 947 of the family's 1831-position model. Lineage: Eukaryota; Haptophyta. The record is from RNAcentral.
CUGACACAGGGAGGUAGUGACAAGAAAUAACAAUACAGGGCUAUUUUAGUCUUGUAAUUGGAAUGAGUACAAUUUACAUCUCUUCACGAGGAUCAAUUGGAGGGCAAGUCUGGUGCCAGCAGCCGCGGUAAUUCCAGCUCCAAUAGCGUAUAUUAAAGUUGUUGCAGUUAAAACGCUCGUAGUCGGAUUUCGGGGCGGGCCGACCGGUCUGCCGAUGGGUAUGCACUGGCCGGCGCGUCCUUCCACCCGGAGACCGCGCCUACUCUUAACUGAGCGGGCGCGGGAGACGGGUCUUUACUUUGAAAAAUCAGAGUGUUUCAAGCAGGCAGUCGCUCUUGCAUGGAUUAGCAUGGGAUAAUGAAAUAGGACUCUGGUGCUAUUUUGUUGGUUUUCGAACACCGGAGUAAUGAUUAACAGGGACAGUCAGGGGCACUCGUAUUCCGCCGAGAGAGGUGAAAUUCUCAGACCAGCGGAAGACGAACCACUGCG